RNAcentral lists this long non-coding RNA (348 nucleotides) under Numida meleagris (helmeted guineafowl). RNAcentral's name for it is "lncRNA (ENSNMEG00000019775.1)". The record is from RNAcentral. Lineage: Eukaryota; Metazoa; Chordata; Aves; Galliformes; Numididae.
GGGGGAGUGAGAGAGUGAUGUGGUGGAGUUCAGCUGCUCGUCAUUGUGAAAUCACCGUAUCCAGUUUGGAAGGUUCACCACCCAAAGUUGCACCCGUGGUGAGCAAAGUGGUGUAUUCACUCCCUGGUCAUUGUGUAGUGCUGGAGCUUCUGUUUUGACAAAGGACCUCAUGGCAGGUUGGAUUGAUUUCUUGGAUCAAAUAAAUGGUUUUGUUCUCUGCUCCUGAGAUAUUGGUGAAAAGCUGUAAUUUAGGCAAAGAGGAGAGAAAACACUUCCAAGAUGAGCCAGGAUUAGGUCAUGUCCUCACUGAUGGUUCUAAUGGAUGUGCUCUUCACAUGUCAGGCAGGA